UGCCAGUGAUAAACUGGAGGAAGGUGGGGAUGACGUCAAGUCAUCAUGGCCCUUACGACCAGGGCUACACACGUGCUACAAUGGCAUAUACAAAGAGAAGCGACCUCGCGAGAGCAAGCGGACCUCAUAAAGUAUGUCGUAGUCCGGAUUGGAGUCUGCAACUCGACUCCAUGAAGUCGGAAUCGCUAGUAAUCGUAGAUCAGAAUGCUACGGUGAAUACGUUCCCGGGCCUUGUACACACCGCCCGUCACACCAUGGGAGUGGGUUGCAAAAGAAGUAGGUAGCUUAA
This 289-nucleotide ribosomal RNA is filed under the name Klebsiella pneumoniae. Its description in RNAcentral is "partial 16S ribosomal RNA". It matches the Rfam family "Bacterial small subunit ribosomal RNA", at positions 1150 to 1438 of the family's 1533-position model. The record is from RNAcentral. Lineage: Bacteria; Pseudomonadati; Pseudomonadota; Gammaproteobacteria; Enterobacterales; Enterobacteriaceae.